UGGCUCAGAACGAACGCUGGCGGCAUGCCUUACACAUGCAAGUCGAACGGCAGCGCGGACUUCGGUCUGGCGGCGAGUGGCGAACGGGUGAGUAAUACAUCGGAACGUACCCUGUUGUGGGGGAUAACUAGUCGAAAGAUUAGCUAAUACCGCAUACGACCUGAGGGUGAAAGCGGGGGACCGAAAGGCCUCGCGCAGCAGGAGCGGCCGAUGUCUGAUUAGCUAGUUGGUGGGGUAAAGGCCCACGCAAGGCGACGAUCAGUAGCUGGUCUGAGAGGACGAUCAGCCACACUGGGACUGAGACACGGACCAGACUCCUACGGGUUUCAGCAGUG
RNAcentral lists this ribosomal RNA (335 nucleotides) under uncultured Cupriavidus sp. Its description in RNAcentral is "bacterial SSU rRNA". It matches the Rfam family "Bacterial small subunit ribosomal RNA", at positions 20 to 356 of the family's 1533-position model. The record is from RNAcentral. Lineage: Bacteria; Pseudomonadati; Pseudomonadota; Betaproteobacteria; Burkholderiales; Burkholderiaceae.